Long non-coding RNA from Spinacia oleracea (spinach), 1077 nucleotides. RefSeq lists it as uncharacterized. The transcript is spliced from 4 exons. The record is from RefSeq and is a predicted model, not a curated record. NCBI's taxonomy places the organism in Eukaryota, Viridiplantae, Streptophyta, Magnoliopsida, Caryophyllales, Amaranthaceae.
GUAAUAAAUAUAUAAUUAACGUAUAUUUAUUUUAUUUAAUUACGUUCUAAAUAUUUAACGAUUUGAGAACUUUAUUAUAUAUUUAAUGUAUAUUUAAUUUUAUUUAAAUAUAUCCUAAAUAUUUUAACGGUUUGCGCAAUCAAGAAUAAUUUUAGAAUUUUAUGUUGAAAAGAAUUUGAAUUACGAAAUACAUUGGAAUUUGGAAAAUAAUCAUAACCGGUUUUGGAAGUUUAAAUGCAAACUUAAAUCUAAUCCUAGCCCAAAUUGGCAAAGCCCAAUACAAUGAACCCAUAACCUUCCUAUACUCCUAUUCCACGUGAAAACAAAAGAAAAACAAACCCUUCCCUCUCAACCACCAUUCACGUAAAUUGCAAACCCUCCUCCUUUCUCACAUUGCUUCCCCUUACUGCUACAACUCACGCCGCCAGCUGCCGGCCACCUACAACCGCCGGACCACCGCCAGCUUCCUCUUCCGUUCGCAACCACCAGCCCAGCACCACCGCAGUCACCGUCGGCUCGUCGCUAACCUCUUUCCGCCACCCCUGCUCGCCGCCGCGCAACCCUAUCGCCGACCAGCACGUUCUCUCUCCACUCUGUUUCGUCACUACUCCACGCGGGCCAUCACCACCUUCGGCAACCAGCCCAACCGCAACCUCCACCGCGCCCAGCCGCGUCUCCUAGCUCGCCACCACUGCCGUGCCUGCACCACCGCCGGCCAGCACUCUCCUUCCUCUCCUUUUGGCGAAGAAUUCUCUUUAGGCGACUUUUGAAAGUGUUAAAGUGGUCUAUCAGUUUGUUUACACAAGUCUUUAAGGAUCAAUAAGCGUUGACCAUCUACAGGUUUGAAGAUGAUGCAUCAUUGGGAUCGGGAUUAGAGAGCUUGUAGUUCUAUUCGUUUAAUUAAGUGAUUUAAUUUGUUAACUUGGAUUUGAAAUUUGUCGUACCAUUCGUAUUUCCUUAAUUCAGUUAAAUGGGUUUGGACCUAAUAUGUAAUAGAUUAUUUAUGAACCUAAAAGUUAGUUUUAUGUUUUCCGCUGCAAAAUUCUGAAUAAGCCGAUACGUUUUCACACGGGCGAU